GUCCACGUAACAGACACCUGCCCUUGUGGAAGGCUGCCUGGAGUCCCGCUGUUCUCCGCCUCUCCAUCUCUUCAGUUGGUCAAGAUGAAGAAAGAGUGACAAGUCAAGAUGUGGAGCAUGAACCUGGCACACACACUUUCUCACACCCACCUACACAUACACACACACACACACACACAUACACAUAUACACACACACACACACGUGACACAACUACCGCAUGCAUCAGGCAGGUAAGUAGUACAAAGAACGGCUCAACAGCUAUGAAGUUCAAUGUGUGUAGUCAAAGCCGAUAAUAUUGAACAAAAUGUAGUUUUGAACUUUAUAUUUCUGUUGUACAGACCUUCCUAUACAGGUAAUCAUUUUUAUUAUUAUUUAUUUUAAAGUUGAAUGAUAACUCAUAUUACUUCACAGCACAGCAUUUUCAGCUGUUAAAUUGGUUCAGACCUGUACAUGAAUGUGUCCUGUGAGGGUGGUGAUGGAAUCCUCUGUUGUUCACAAUUGCCACUCCGAUGCAUUGGAGCCAACAGUGAUGUAAAUGAAGCGCAUGUCAUCGGGCAUCAACCCAACCUUAUCACUGGGUGACUGACUGCAGCCCAUUCCCAGAGGUCUGUGCCUGUGAGACAGAAAUCUACUUCUGACUCACUUCUGUCACUCCUUGUUUGAGUAAGGUUUUCUGAAUGCCUGUAUUCCAUAUUUGAUGUUGCUUACAGCUUGGAGUGUACAUUUGGGGGUUAUUUAUGACCCGCCAGCUGGAGGCAGAAUUACCUGCCUUCAAAUUUGAUUCUUGAUACAGUGUAUCUGCCUUACUUUUAGUUCUGUGUUACACUAUUUUAUUGCUUCACAUCUCACCAAGGCUGUGUUGUUCUGGGUGAGGAAACUGGUCAAACUUUGAGCUAGAACGCUAAAAUGAAACUGCACGUAACCUUUUUUUCUUUGAAAGAAUGCAUUACUGUACUGUUGAGUUUUUUCAAAUACUUUUUAUUCAUGCAUUUGCAAUACUUAUAAUAUACUUAAUUAUAAUUAAAAUAUAAAUAUA
Conger conger (European conger) is the source of this 1039-nucleotide long non-coding RNA. RefSeq lists it as uncharacterized. Lineage: Eukaryota; Metazoa; Chordata; Actinopteri; Anguilliformes; Congridae. The record is from RefSeq and is a predicted model, not a curated record. The transcript has 2 exons.